UGGGUGGGUCCUGGACCCGGCAGACCGCUCUUCCGCCCCGCGCGGGGGUGUGCGGAGGUGUGCCGGGGUGCGCGGUGCGCGGUGCGCGGGGGUGCUCGCCUUGCGCGCGUGCAAGGGAUGAAAACCUCAACAGCUAGAUCCUAUUACAGCCUUCGGCGCACAGAGGAACCCCAGUUAAAGACCCUGCUCCAUAGGCGCCUGGUAGGACAGUAAAAACUUUCUGCUGUAAGGCCCAUUCGUCCUCCAAAGGAGUCCUGACCCAUCUUCUGUAAAAGAUAAAGCCUUCUAGCUCACUUUUUAUCUGAAGCUGAAAGUCCCGAAAUGCUGGCACUCCCUAGAGAUCCGCGGAGUGCUGGGUGAUCGGAUUCUCUGGAGCAUUUGCUGUCUAGACACUUCUCAAACUUUUAUCAAAAGCCCCCAUGUCUCACCCUGUUGGCGAGGUUCCUCUCUUGGAAACUCGCGCACCGGCCUCCUCGGCAGCGGACGCUGUUCUAAAUCAACUCUGAUCUUUUUUGCGUUCCUUGCCUGUUAUUGAAAUGCUUUUUUUCCGCCGGUGGCACCGGGCUGUGCCUGGGGGCACAUCUCGUGGCACACCCUUGGUUACAGCUACCUUCGGGGCCUGCUGGAGAGGAGCUCCUGUGGGGUUCCACUGCUCUGGACGGGCUGGCGGGACGUGGGUGGCGUUGCAGUCCCCAGUGUGAACAGCUUGGUCAGCCUGGAUUGCCACCUCUGCAGGGCUGCAUCUAACCACGUUUCUGAAAAGGGACACAGAGAUGUAAUGGAUAUGUAGUAUCUGAAACUUCGAGGUGACACAUGGUUUCUCUUCAUCCUCAUGAGAGUGCUAGGCAAGGAUGACUACCCACACCCACAAGAGACUGCAGCUUAAUAAGUGGGAGAUGGAUGUUCAAGACCAUGUUGAUAGGUGGUCAGCAGGGACCCAGUCCUCUGCAUGCUCUUUCUGCACAAUAGACACUGACCAUGAGUGUGAAGACCCAGAAAACAUCUGAGAGGAGAAGACAUGUUCUCCCAACGAGGAUAGGACCACGCCCCGUCCUGGGACAACUGCCCUCAAUCUGUUCUCCGGUGGCAGGGCCUCAGCCUCUCAGCCCAGCAGCUCUCAGGUCUCCGGAAGGACCUCACACCCGGGAAAGCCCCCUGAAAGGCUGUGAGCAUCAACUGGAUGCUAUUUGCGUCUGAUAACUUCGGAGAUUUGUUUCUAAAUAAAAUUAGUCCCA
Molecule: long non-coding RNA, 1235 nt
Organism: Chinchilla lanigera (long-tailed chinchilla)
Lineage: Eukaryota; Metazoa; Chordata; Mammalia; Rodentia; Chinchillidae
Exons: 3
Source: RefSeq, a predicted model, not a curated record